GAUGAAGAACGUAGCAAAAUGCGAUAAGUAAUGUGAAUUGCAGAAUUCAGUGAAUCAUCGAAUCUUUGAACGCACAUUGCGCCCGCCAGUAUUCUGGCGGGCAUGCCUGUUCGAGCGUCAUUUCAACCCUCAAGCACAGCUUGGUGUUGGGACUCGCGUUAAUUCGCGUUCCUCAAAUUGAUUGGCGGUCACGUCGAGCUUCCAUAGCGUAGUAGUAAAACCCUCGUUACUGGUAAUCGUCGCGGCCACGCCGUUAAACCCCAACUUCUGAAUGUUGACCUCGGAUCAGGUGGGAAUACCCGCUGAACUUAAGCAUAUCAAUAAGCGGAGGA
Molecule: unclassified non-coding RNA, 332 nt
Filed under: soil metagenome
Description: partial contains 5.8S ribosomal RNA, internal transcribed spacer 2, and large subunit ribosomal RNA
Rfam family: 5.8S ribosomal RNA (bases 1-120)
Source: RNAcentral